CCUGAGCCAGAACCAGAGGCGGAAGCCCAAAAGCCACAGUUCAAGGUACCAAAGAUUCCUGAUGGCGAUAAAGUGGACUUUGACGUAA
Long non-coding RNA from Oncorhynchus nerka (sockeye salmon), 88 nucleotides. RefSeq lists it as uncharacterized. The transcript has 3 exons. NCBI's taxonomy places the organism in Eukaryota, Metazoa, Chordata, Actinopteri, Salmoniformes, Salmonidae. The record is from RefSeq and is a predicted model, not a curated record.